AUACUAAGAAUACACACAAGGAAAUUGAGAAUCAGCUCUUCCUGAUGGCACUUCUCAACAAGGAUGCCAAGGCUCUAUGCUUCGCAACCCUUAUUGUCAUGGCUAUGGUAUUCUCGUCUUGUGAAGCAGGAGGUAGUAGGUGCAGCGAUUUUUCCCCAUGCGACAACAUAUUGUGUGAGGUGCAUUGUGACGCACUAGGGUACAACAACCCUAGGCCACACUGCCUUUAUACCAAGAUUAGACAUAUGAGCGAUAAAUGUUGUUGUUAGGCUAAAACUGGGGCGUGUGUCCCAUGUUGAAAUAAUGUAUCAAUUUGGCCAAGAUGGUAAAGUCAAUAUAUCUCACCAACUAUGGAUGUUGGUUGACCGAUAAUAAUAAUAAUUUGUGAUGCUUAAAUUA
Sorghum bicolor (sorghum) is the source of this 399-nucleotide long non-coding RNA. RefSeq lists it as uncharacterized. The record is from RefSeq and is a predicted model, not a curated record. The transcript is spliced from 2 exons. NCBI's taxonomy places the organism in Eukaryota, Viridiplantae, Streptophyta, Magnoliopsida, Poales, Poaceae.